AAAGAAAAAACUUUCAACAACGGAUCUCUUGGUUCUGGCAUCGAUGAAGAACGCAGCAAAAUGCGAUAAGUAAUGUGAAUUGCAGAAUUCAGUGAAUCAUCAAAUCUUUGAACGCACAUUGCGCCC
This 126-nucleotide ribosomal RNA is filed under the name Psora testacea. RNAcentral's name for it is "5.8S ribosomal RNA". It matches the Rfam family "5.8S ribosomal RNA", at positions 1 to 118 of the family's 154-position model. From Rfam's summary of the family: 5.8S ribosomal RNA (5.8S rRNA) is a component of the large subunit of the eukaryotic ribosome. It is transcribed by RNA polymerase I as part of the 45S precursor that also contains 18S and 28S rRNA. Lineage: Eukaryota; Fungi; Ascomycota; Lecanoromycetes; Lecanorales; Psoraceae. The record is from RNAcentral.